This is a long non-coding RNA of Oncorhynchus tshawytscha (Chinook salmon), 485 nucleotides long. The record is from Ensembl. NCBI's taxonomy places the organism in Eukaryota, Metazoa, Chordata, Actinopteri, Salmoniformes, Salmonidae.
GUACUGUUCUAGUUCUCAAAUGUGCAUUCAGUCAGAACGUCUCCCUCCCAAUGACUCUCUCCUGCCAGACGGCUGACUUCCACACAUCAGACUACAUCUGCCCUAUUAGAUACAGACGGCUGACUUCCACACAUCAGACUACAUCUGCUCUAUUAGGUACAGACGGCUGACUUCCACACAUCAGACUACAUCUGCUCUAUUAGGUACAGACAGGUGACUUCUACACAUCAGACUACAUCUGCUCUAUUAGGUACAGACGGCUGACUUCCACACAUCAGACUACAUCUGCUCUAAUAGAUACAGACAGCUGACUUCCACACAUCAGACUACAUCUGCUCUAUUAGGUACAGACAGCUGACUUCCACACAUCAGACUACAUCUGCUCUAUUAGGUACAGACGGCUGACUUCUACACAUCAGACUACAUCUGCUCUAUUAGGUACAGACAGCUGACUUCCACACAUCAGACUACAUCUGCUCUAAUAG